RNAcentral lists this long non-coding RNA (327 nucleotides) under Theobroma cacao (cacao). Its description in RNAcentral is "long non-coding RNA (TCAC_LNC000717)". The record is from RNAcentral. Lineage: Eukaryota; Viridiplantae; Streptophyta; Magnoliopsida; Malvales; Malvaceae.
AAUGGUGAGACAAUCAGUGACGUUGGUUCAGAGGAAGUUCAGGAGAAUUCGAAUUCAGAGCUUGAGGCUGAGACGUUUGAAGAGGCUGUUGGGGUUCCAAGUGAAGUUGAACCUCUGGAGGAUGUGGUUCAGAGUGAGGUUGGACCUAAGGAGGAUGUGGUUCGGAGUGAGGUUGGACCUAAGGAGGAUGUAGUUCCAAGUGCUAAGGAGGAUGCAGCAGUGUCAGUGGAUGAGCAGAAAGUGGAGGAACUGUUGGGUGGGGGGAGUGUUGGUGGUAGUGUGGUGUCUGAUAAGAUUGAUGAGGGAGGGACUGGAACGGGAGCAGGG